Molecule: long non-coding RNA, 427 nt
Filed under: Manihot esculenta (cassava)
Lineage: Eukaryota; Viridiplantae; Streptophyta; Magnoliopsida; Malpighiales; Euphorbiaceae
Description: long non-coding RNA (MESC_LNC003759)
Source: RNAcentral
CUUCAUUCAACAGUGGCGCUUUUCUUUUCUUGUUCUCAUUAGUUUUCUUUCAAACUAGGGUACCCAGUCAGUUUGGGUAAUCAAACAAAUAUACAGAAAAUUAAUCAAAUACUUGAAUAUAAAAUAAAAAUCAUCAAAACCCUCAAAUUAAUUCAUCAAACCCAAAAUUCAAAAUAGCGAGAAGGUGAUUCAACAAAAAUACAAAUAAUUUUAGAAAUUGAUACCCAGAAAUUGAAAAAAAAAACAAAUAUAGAUCUAGAAAUUAAACAUGCAAAGUGGGUGGGUGAUUCAACAGACCAAUAGAUUCAUAAUCAAAUAACCAAAUAUCUAAAAUCAUAGAACCAACAAAUAUUUGCAUCAAAGAGAGUAGGCGAUUUAACAAAAUAUUGAUGCUUCUUGUGCGAUGACUACCAGAGUAAGGCACGNN